This 748-nucleotide ribosomal RNA is filed under the name Streptococcus parasanguinis. RNAcentral's name for it is "bacterial SSU rRNA". It matches the Rfam family "Bacterial small subunit ribosomal RNA", at positions 51 to 785 of the family's 1533-position model. Lineage: Bacteria; Bacillati; Bacillota; Bacilli; Lactobacillales; Streptococcaceae. The record is from RNAcentral.
AUACAUGCAGUAGACGCUGAGCUUGGUGCUUGCACCGAGCGGAUGAGUUGCGAACGGGUGAGUAACGCGUAGGUAACCUGCCUCUUAGCGGGGGAUAACUAUUGGAAACGAUAGCUAAUACCGCAUAAAAGUCGACAUUGCAUAAUGUUGACUUGAAAGGUGCAACUGCAUCACUAAGAGAUGGACCUGCGUUGUAUUAGCUAGUUGGUGAGGUAACGGCUCACCAAGGCGACGAUACAUAGCCGACCUGAGAGGGUGAUCGGCCACACUGGGACUGAGACACGGCCCAGACUCCUACGGGAGGCAGCAGUAGGGAAUCUUCGGCAAUGGACGGAAGUCUGACCGAGCAACGCCGCGUGAGUGAAGAAGGUUUUCGGAUCGUAAAGCUCUGUUGUAAGAGAAGAACGAGUGUGAGAGUGGAAAGUUCACACUGUGACGGUAACUUACCAGAAAGGGACGGCUAACUACGUGCCAGCAGCCGCGGUAAUACGUAGGUCCCGAGCGUUAUCCGGAUUUAUUGGGCGUAAAGCGAGCGCAGGCGGUUAGAUAAGUCUGAAGUUAAAGGCUGUGGCUUAACCAUAGUACGCUUUGGAAACUGUUUAACUUGAGUGCAGAAGGGGAGAGUGGAAUUCCAUGUGUAGCGGUGAAAUGCGUAGAUAUAUGGAGGAACACCGGUGGCGAAAGCGGCUCUCUGGUCUGUAACUGACGCUGAGGCUCGAAAGCGUGGGGAGCAAACAGGAUUAGAUAC